AACAUCAAGUUAGCACCUUAAUUUUGGGAUAUUGGAUGGACAAAAAUGCACUGAUGAGUGGUGGAGAGAAAAUGCACCUAAGAAAGCCUCACGAUGAAUCAGAGAAUCAUUGAGAAAAAUAUUUCAAAGAGUCCUUCUACACGAAGCAUCUCUCAAAUUUUUUUUGAUGAUUGUCAUGUGUCAAAAGGUUCUAGAUAGGAGUGGGAUUUCAUCAGGGAGUGAGAAAUUUUGAUGGAUGCGAGAUGGUGUGUAAUGUCAAAAGGUUCCAGAUAGGAGUGGGAUUUCAUCAGGGGGUGUGAGAAAUUUUGAUGGAUGCGAGAUGAUGUGUGGAGAGGGCACGAGACAAGUCCAAAGGCAACCUAUUGCUUAACUAUUUAAAGGGGGUGCAUCGGGGAUUUAUUUCAUUCAUAAAUUCAUUUCUAUCUCUUCUUUCUUACAUACUCUCCCUAUUAUCCAAUUUGUCUCUUCUUUCUUUUGUUAGGACAAGUUCAAAAAUAGUAAGGACAAGUCCGAUUUUAGGACAAAAGCCUAGAAAGAGAUUUAAGGAAGACAAAGAGAGAAGAAAGAUAAGGAUAGGAAGGCU
This 583-nucleotide long non-coding RNA is filed under the name Elaeis guineensis (African oil palm). RNAcentral describes it as "long non-coding RNA (EGUI_LNC063868)". The record is from RNAcentral. Lineage: Eukaryota; Viridiplantae; Streptophyta; Magnoliopsida; Arecales; Arecaceae.